AGUGAACGCUGGCGGUAGGCCUAACACAUGCAAGUCGAACGGCAGCACAGUAAGAGCUUGCUCUUACGGGUGGCGAGUGGCGGACGGGUGAGGAAUACAUCGGAAUCUACUUUUUCGUGGGGGAUAACGUAGGGAAACUUACGCUAAUACCGCAUACGACCUACGGGUGAAAGCAGGGGAUCUUCGGACCUUGCGCGAUUGAAUGAGCCGAUGUCGGAUUAGCUAGUUGGCGGGGUAAAGGCCCACCAAGGCGACGAUCCGUAGCUGGUCUGAGAGGAUGAUCAGCCACACUGGAACUGAGAAACGGUCCAGACUCCUAGGGGAGGCAGCAGUGGGGAAUAUUGGACAAAGGGCGAAAGCCUGAUCCAGCAAUACCGCGUGGGUGAAGAAGGCCUUCGGGUUGUAAAGCCCUUUUGUUGGGAAAGAAAAGCAGCAGGUUAAUAACCCGAUGUUCUGACGGUACCCAAAGAAUAAGCACCGGCUAACUUCGUG
Molecule: ribosomal RNA, 492 nt
Filed under: uncultured bacterium
Lineage: Bacteria
Description: partial 16S ribosomal RNA
Rfam family: Bacterial small subunit ribosomal RNA
Source: RNAcentral